Carassius gibelio (silver crucian carp) is the source of this 882-nucleotide long non-coding RNA. RefSeq lists it as uncharacterized. The record is from RefSeq and is a predicted model, not a curated record. The transcript is spliced from 4 exons. Lineage: Eukaryota; Metazoa; Chordata; Actinopteri; Cypriniformes; Cyprinidae.
AGUUGUUACAUUAUUGCAGCUCGAUGAUUCUAAAUAUUUUUUUUGCCAAAAUAUUCACAGCAGCAAAGAGCUUGAUCAUUUUUUUUGCCAAUCUUCUGCUCUACUUUUCUUGCUACUUUGAGAAAAAAGCUCUAGAGGAAAGACCAAAAUCUCUCAAGGGAGAGGACACAGAGAGGCAGAUGACUGGAGAAAUGUGUGCUAAGGUGAAGCUGGCACAAAAGCAGCUUGCCCUCUGUCACUUCAGGCUGCUGCUGGGGCUAGAUCUGCCUCAACAGCACCAUAUGGCUUUUGACAGGAAGUCAAACCGGCGCCCGGCCCCGAACAAAAUCAUAACCCAGCAUUCCCCUCGGAUGGCAUCUCUGCUGCCUACUCCACAAGAAGAGGUCCAUCACCUGUUGGGGAAAUUCAGACGGCUUAAAAUGUCUUCAACUUAACACUUUGAUUUCAGAGGCUCUGACGGAGUGGCUUAUAGAGGAGCUAAAGUCACUUGGUUUUGAAAUUCUUGGGAAGCCUUUGAGCCAAUUCAGCUCAGUGACACUGAAGCCUCAGGGAGGCCAGAGUGAAGAGGAGACUGAGGACGAGGAAGAGGACAACAAAACUACCUUUUGGUUUUUGUGUGUUUUACAACAUGCAAAUUUCUUUCAACUAUUAUUUAUUGCCCUGGUUAUUGUCCCCUGUGUUUUGCAUGAUGGUUACCGGCUACAAUCAUAUUUAAUUUUGGAAAAUAACAAUACAUGUCACUAGGUGGCACUUUCGAUGUUGUUAUUCAGUUCAGUCCUCAUGGAAAUGAUUCAAGACGAAAAAAAGAAAACAUGGAAUAAACUAAGAAAGCUAAGUAUGCAAAUGUGGGUAAAUAAAAUGUAUUACAUUACUUUUGUAUCA